RNAcentral lists this ribosomal RNA (596 nucleotides) under Hepatozoon canis. RNAcentral's name for it is "bacterial SSU rRNA". It matches the Rfam family "Eukaryotic small subunit ribosomal RNA", at positions 221 to 805 of the family's 1831-position model. Lineage: Eukaryota; Apicomplexa; Hepatozoidae. The record is from RNAcentral.
GCCAAUGCAUGCUUUUACAGUAUGAAAAUUGGUGAUUUAUAAUAACUUAGCAAAUCGCAAAGUGAAAACAGGCGAUAAAUCAUUCAAGUUUCUGACCUAUCAGCUUUCGACGGUAUGGUAUUGGCUUACCGUGGCAGUGACGGUUAACGGGGGAUUAGGGUUCGAUUCCGGAGAGGGAGCCUGAGAAACGGCUACCACAUCUAAGGAAGGCAGCAGGCGCGCAAAUUACCCAAUUCUAACAGUUUGAGAGAGGUAGUAACAAGAAAUAACAAUACAAGGCAGUUAAAAUGCUUUGUAAUUGGAAUGAUAGAAAUUUAAACCCUUUUUAAAGUAUCAAUUGGAGGGCAAGUCUGGUGCCAGCAGCCGCGGUAAUUCCAGCUCCAAUAGCGUAUAUUAAAAUUGUUGCAGUUAAAAAGCUCGUAGUUGAAGUUCUGCUAAAAGUAACCGGUCUGCUUUGAAUAAAAGUGGUAUCUUGGUAUGUAUUUAGCAAUGAUGUCCUUUGAAGUGUUUUUUACUUUAUUGUAAUAAAGCAUAUUCAGGACUUUUACUUUGAGAAAAUUAGAGUGUUUCUAGCAGGCCAACGCUUUGAAUACUGC